CAGCCGCCGCGGUAACACCGAGGGUGCGAGCUUUAAUCGGAUUUACUGGGCGUAAAGCGUGCGUAGGCGGCUUUUUAAGUCGGAUGUGAAAUCCCUGAGCUUAACUUAGGAAUUGCAUUCGAUACUGGGAAGCUAGAGUAUGGGAGAGGAUGGUAGAAUUCCAGGUGUAGCGGUGAAAUGCGUAGAGAUCUGGAGGAAUACCGAUGGCGAAGGCAGCCAUCUGGCCUAAUACUGACGCUGAGGUACGAAAGCAUGGGGAGCAAACAGGAUUAGAUACCCCUGUAGUCCCUGUCUCUUAUAC
RNAcentral lists this ribosomal RNA (301 nucleotides) under uncultured bacterium. Its description in RNAcentral is "partial 16S ribosomal RNA". It matches the Rfam family "Bacterial small subunit ribosomal RNA", at positions 509 to 807 of the family's 1533-position model. The record is from RNAcentral.